RNAcentral lists this ribosomal RNA (447 nucleotides) under uncultured bacterium. Its description in RNAcentral is "bacterial SSU rRNA". It matches the Rfam family "Bacterial small subunit ribosomal RNA", at positions 330 to 792 of the family's 1533-position model. The record is from RNAcentral.
UCCAGACUCCUACGGGAGGCAGCAGUGGGGAAUAUUGGGCAAUGGGCGCAAGCCUGACCCAGCAAUGCCGCGUGAAGGAAGAAGGCUUUCGGGUUGUAAACUUCUUUGACAGGGGAAGAGCAGAAGACGGUACCCUGAAAACAAGCCACGGCUAACUACGUGCCAGCAGCCGCGGUAAUACGUAGGUGGCAAGCGUUGUCCGGAUUUACUGGGUGUAAAGGGCGUGUAGCCGGGAAGGCAAGUCAGAUGUGAAAUCUGGAGGCUCAACCUCCAAAUUGCAUUUGAAACUGUUUUUCUUGAGUACUGGAGAGGCAGACGGAAUUCCUUGUGUAGCGGUGAAAUGCGUAGAUAUAAGGAGGAACACCAGUGGCGAAGGCGGAUGACUGGACGGCAACUGACGGUGAGGCGCGAAAGCGUGGGGAGCAAACAGGAUUAGAUACCCUCGUA